This 465-nucleotide ribosomal RNA is filed under the name Vreelandella stevensii. Its description in RNAcentral is "partial 16S ribosomal RNA". It matches the Rfam family "Bacterial small subunit ribosomal RNA", at positions 338 to 795 of the family's 1533-position model. Lineage: Bacteria; Pseudomonadati; Pseudomonadota; Gammaproteobacteria; Oceanospirillales; Halomonadaceae. The record is from RNAcentral.
CCUACGGGAGGCUGCAGUGGGGAAUAUUGGACAAUGGGGGGAACCCUGAUCCAGCCAUGCCGCGUGUGUGAAGAAGGCCCUCGGGUUGUAAAGCACUUUCAGUGAGGAAGAACGCCUGGUGGUUAAUACCCAUCAGGAAAGACAUCACUCACAGAAGAAGCACCGGCUAACUCCGUGCCAGCAGCCGCGGUAAUACGGAGGGUGCGAGCGUUAAUCGGAAUUACUGGGCGUAAAGCGCGCGUAGGUGGCUUGAUAAGCCGGUUGUGAAAGCCCCGGGCUCAACCUGGGAACGGCAUCCGGAACUGUCAAGCUAGAGUGCAGGAGAGGAAGGUAGAAUUCCCGGUGUAGCGGUGAAAUGCGUAGAGAUCGGGAGGAAUACCAGUGGCGAAGGCGGCCUUCGGGACUGACACUGACACUGAGGUGCGAAAGCGUGGGUAGCAAACAGGAUUAGAUACCCUGGUAGUC